AGUGAAGCGGCAACAGCUCAAAUUUGAAAUCCGGCCCCCGCCGCGGGCGCCCGAGUUGUAAUUUGCAGAGGAUGCUUUUGGCGCGGCGCCUUCCGAGUUCCCUGGAACGGGACGCCACAGAGGGUGAGAGCCCCGUCCGGUCGGCCGCCUAGCCUCUGUAAAGCUCCUUCGACGAGUCGAGUAGUUUGGGAAUGCUGCUCAAAACGGGAGGUAUAUGUCUUCUAAAGCUAAAUACCGGCCAGAGACCGAUAGCGCACAAGUAGAGUGAUCGAAAGAUGAAAAGCACUUUGAAAAGAGGGUUAAACAGUACGUGAAAUUGUUGAAAGGGAAGCGCUCGUGACCAGACUCGGCCCCGGCGAAUCACCCGGCGUUCUCGCCGGUGCACUUUUCGCCGGGCGCCGGGCCAGCAUCGGUUCGCGGCGGGGGACAAAGGCGCCGGGAACGUGGCUCCCCCGGGAGUGUUAUAGCCCGGCGCGUCAUGCCCCGCGGCGGACCGAGGUUCGCGCACCCGCAAGGAUGCUGGCGUAAUGGUCACCAGCGACCCGUCUUGAAACACGGACCAAGGAGUCGUCCUCGUAUGCGAGUGUUCGGGUGUCAAACCCCUACGCGGAAUGAAAGUGAACGCAGGUGAGAGCCUCACGGCGCAUCAUCGACCGAUCCCGAUGUUCUCGGACGGAUUUGAGUAAGAGCAUACGGGGCCGGACCCGAAAGAAGGUGAACUAUGCCUGUGUAGGGUGAAGCCAGAGGAAACUCUGGUGGAGGCUCGCAGCGGUUCUGACGUGCA
RNAcentral lists this ribosomal RNA (784 nucleotides) under Ophiocordyceps tiputini. RNAcentral's name for it is "eukaryotic LSU rRNA". It matches the Rfam family "Eukaryotic large subunit ribosomal RNA", at positions 92 to 895 of the family's 3401-position model. The record is from RNAcentral. Lineage: Eukaryota; Fungi; Ascomycota; Sordariomycetes; Hypocreales; Ophiocordycipitaceae.